GGAUAACACUUAGAAAUAGGUGCUAAUACCGCAUAAGCGCACAGCUUCGCGUGAAGCAGUGUGAAAAACUCCGGUGGUAUACGAUGGAUCCGCGUCUGAUUAGCUUGUUGGCGGGGUAAAGGCCCACCAAGGCGACGAUCAGUAGCCGGCCUGAGAGGGUGAACGGCCACAUUGGGACUGAGACACGGCCCAAACUCCUACGGGAGGCAGCAGUGGGGAAUAUUGCACAAUGGGGGAAACCCUGAUGCAGCGACGCCGCGUGAGUGAAGAAGUAUUUCGGUAUGUAAAGCUCUAUCAGCAGGGAAGAAAAUGACGGUACCUGACUAAGAAGCCCCGGCUAACUACGUGCCAGCAGCCGCGGUAAUACGUAGGGGGCAAGCGUUAUCCGGAUUUACUGGGUGUAAAGGGAGCGUAGACGGCAGCGCAAGUCUGGAGUGAAAUCCCAUGGCUUAACCAUGGAACUGCUUUGGAAACUGUGCAGCUAGAGUGCAGGAGAGGUAAGCGGAAUUCCUAGUGUAGCGGUGAAAUGCGUAGAUAUUAGGAGGAACACCAGUGGCGAAGGCGGCUUACUGGACUGUAACUGACGUUGAGGCUCGAAAGCGUGGGGAGCAAACAGGAUUAGAUACCCUGGUAGUCCACGCUGUAAACG
RNAcentral lists this ribosomal RNA (649 nucleotides) under uncultured bacterium. Its description in RNAcentral is "bacterial SSU rRNA". It matches the Rfam family "Bacterial small subunit ribosomal RNA", at positions 141 to 808 of the family's 1533-position model. The record is from RNAcentral.